This 465-nucleotide ribosomal RNA is filed under the name Vreelandella stevensii. Its description in RNAcentral is "partial 16S ribosomal RNA". It matches the Rfam family "Bacterial small subunit ribosomal RNA", at positions 338 to 795 of the family's 1533-position model. Lineage: Bacteria; Pseudomonadati; Pseudomonadota; Gammaproteobacteria; Oceanospirillales; Halomonadaceae. The record is from RNAcentral.
CCUACGGUGGGCAGCAGUGGGGAAUAUUGGACAAUGGGCGAAAGCCUGAUCCAGCCAUGCCGCGUGUGUGAAGAAGGCCUUCGGGUUGUAAAGCACUUUCAGUGGGGAAGAAAGCCUUGGGGCUAAUACCCUCGAGGAAGGACAUCACCCACAGAAGAAGCACCGGCUAACUCCGUGCCAGCAGCCGCGGUAAUACGGAGGGUGCGAGCGUUAAUCGGAAUUACUGGGCGUAAAGCGCGCGUAGGCGGUCUGAUAAGCCGGUUGUGAAAGCCCCGGGCUCAACCUGGGAACGGCAUCCGGAACUGUCAGGCUAGAGUGCAGGAGAGGAAGGUAGAAGUCCCGGUGUAGCGGUGAAAUGCGUAGAGAUCGGGAGGAAUACCAGUGGCGAAGGCGGCCUUCUGGACUGACACUGACGCUGAGGUGCGAAAGCGUGGGUAGCAAACAGGAUUAGAUACCCCGGUAGUC